AUUGAACGCUGGCGGCAUGCCUUACACAUGCAAGUCGAACGGUAACGGGCCUUCGGGUGCCGACGAGUGGCGAACGGGUGAGUAAUACAUCGGAACGUGCCCGAUCGUGGGGGAUAACGAGGCGAAAGCUUUGCUAAUACCGCAUACGAUCUACGGAUGAAAGCAGGGGACCGCAAGGCCUUGCGCGGACGGAGCGGCCGAUGGCAGAUUAGGUAGUUGGUGGGAUAAAAGCUUACCAAGCCGACGAUCUGUAGCUGGUCUGAGAGGAUGAUCAGCCACACUGGGAGUGAGACACGGCCCAGACUCCUACGGGAGGCAGCAGUGGGGAAUUUUGGACAAUGGGCGCAAGCCUGAUCCAGCCAUGCCGCGUGCAGGAUGAAGGCCUUCGGGUUGUAAACUGCUUUUGUACGGAACGAAAAGCCUUCUUUUAAUACAGGAGGGUCAUGACGGUACCGUAAGAAUAAGCACCGGCUAACUACGUG
This 482-nucleotide ribosomal RNA is filed under the name uncultured bacterium. RNAcentral's name for it is "partial 16S ribosomal RNA". It matches the Rfam family "Bacterial small subunit ribosomal RNA", at positions 30 to 507 of the family's 1533-position model. The record is from RNAcentral.